CCUACGGGGGGCUGCAGUGAGGAAUAUUGGUCAAUGGACGAGAGUCUGAACCAGCCAAGUAGCGUGAAGGAUGACUGCCCUAUGGGUUGUAAACUUCUUUUAUAUGGGAAUAAAACGUUCCACGUGUGGGAUUUAGUAUGUACACUAUGAAAAAGCAUCGGCUAACACCGUGCCCGCCGCGGCGGUAAAACGGAGGAUGCGAGCGUUAUCUGGAUUUAUUGGGUUUAAAGGGUGCGCGGGCGGAAGAUCAAGUCAGCGGUAAAAUUGAGAGGCUCAACCUCUUCGAGCCGUUGAAACUGGUUGUCGUGAGUGAGCGCGAAGUAUGCGGAAUGCGUGGUGUAGCGGUGAAAUGCAUAGAUAUCACGCAGAACUCCGAUUGCGAAGGCAGCAUACCGGCGCUCAACUGACGCUCAUGCACGAAAGUGUGGGUAUCGAACAGGAUUAGAUACCCUAGUAGUC
RNAcentral lists this ribosomal RNA (459 nucleotides) under uncultured bacterium. RNAcentral describes it as "partial 16S ribosomal RNA". It matches the Rfam family "Bacterial small subunit ribosomal RNA", at positions 338 to 795 of the family's 1533-position model. The record is from RNAcentral.